AAUUGAUCUGGAUACAAACUUAAUGUCUUCCUAAAUGAAAACUCUCUUUUUUCAGUAACCAGUUUACCGUUACGGUGGAUCAUCUCAAGAAUGUGGCAGUCGCCAGGAACCCCCAGCUGGGAAACCUGAAAACCACCGUCUGGAUAUGGGAUUCAAGACACAUCAAGAUUCCCAAGUCAGAGAACCACACCUUUCAAAGAAAUUCCUACUCCACUAAAAUCAAGGGAAACACUGUGGUAAAGGUAGCAUGUUGUAAUCUGGAUGGUACUCCACAGCUAGUAUAUCAACUAAAGGGGAGUAUAAGUCCAAGAUGUGGAGAUGAGAGAAUCAUGCGUUUUUGUGUAAUGGAGGAGACACCAGGGAUGGGUGGAAUUAAAUCCAUCCUGGAAGCUACACCGGGUUAUUUUAAAUUUCAUCUGUUUGACAGAGGAUAUAAAGCUUUCAGGUUAAUGGAGUGGAUUUUUUUGGGUAUGUAUCGUAA
Long non-coding RNA from Eurytemora carolleeae, 481 nucleotides. RefSeq lists it as uncharacterized. The transcript has 6 exons. Lineage: Eukaryota; Metazoa; Arthropoda; Copepoda; Calanoida; Temoridae. The record is from RefSeq and is a predicted model, not a curated record.